CUACGGGGGGCAGCAGUGGGGAAUAUUGGACAAUGGGCGCAAGCCUGAUCCAGCAAUGCCGCGUGAGUGAAGACGGCCUUAGGGUUGUAAAACUCCUUCGCUAGGGAAGAUAAUGACUGUACCUAGUAAAGAAGUCCCGGCUAACUCCGUGCCAGCAGCUGCGGUAAUACGGAGGGGACUAGCGUUGUUCGGAAUUACUGGGCGUAAAGAGUUCGUAGGCGGACUGACAAGUUAGAGGUGAAAUCCCAGGGCUCAACCCUGGAACUGCCUUUAAAACUGUCAGUCUAGAGACCGGAAGAGGUUAGGGGAAUACCUAGUGUAGGGGUGAAAUUCGUAGAUAUUAGGUGGAACACCAGUGGCGAAGGCGCCUAACUGGUCCGGUACUGACGCUGAGGAACGAAAGCGUGGGGAGCAAACAGGAUUAGAUACCCCGGUAGUC
Molecule: ribosomal RNA, 439 nt
Filed under: uncultured bacterium
Lineage: Bacteria
Description: partial 16S ribosomal RNA
Rfam family: Bacterial small subunit ribosomal RNA
Source: RNAcentral